CACUCCUACGGGAGGCAGCAGUGGGGAAUAUUGGACAAUGGGCGCAAGCCUGAUCCAGCCAUGCCGCGUGAGUGAUGAAGGCCCUAGGGUUGUAAAGCUCUUUCACCGGAGAAGAUAAUGACGGUAUCCGGAGAAGAAGCCCCGGCUAACUUCGUGCCAGCAGCCGCGGUAAUACGAAGGGGGCUAGCGUUGUUCGGAAUUACUGGGCGUAAAGCGCACGUAGGCGGAUCGAUCAGUCAGGGGUGAAAUCCCAGGGCUCAACCCUGGAACUGCCUUUGAUACUGUCGAUCUGGAGUAUGGAAGAGGUGAGUGGAAUUCCGAGUGUAGAGGUGAAAUUCGUAGAUAUUCGGAGGAACACCAGUGGCGAAGGCGGCUCACUGGUCCAUUACUGACGCUGAGGUGCGAAAGCGUGGGGAGCAAACAGGAUUAGAUACCCUUGUAGUCCCAUGAU
Molecule: ribosomal RNA, 451 nt
Filed under: uncultured organism
Description: partial 16S ribosomal RNA
Rfam family: Bacterial small subunit ribosomal RNA
Source: RNAcentral